Molecule: ribosomal RNA, 301 nt
Filed under: uncultured bacterium
Lineage: Bacteria
Description: partial 16S ribosomal RNA
Rfam family: Bacterial small subunit ribosomal RNA
Source: RNAcentral
CAGUCGCCACGGUAAUACGGGGGGUGCAAGCGUUAAUCGGAAUUACUGGGCGUAAAGCGCACGCAGGCGGUUUGUUAAGUCAGAUGUGAAAUCCCCGAGCUUAACUUGGGAACUGCAUUUGAAACUGGCAAGCUAGAGUCUUGUAGAGGGGGGUAGAAUUCCAGGUGUAGCGGUGAAAUGCGUAGAGAUCUGGAGGAAUACCGGUGGCGAAGGCGGCCCCCUGGACAAAGACUGACGCUCAGGUGCGAAAGCGUGGGGAGCAAACAGGAUUAGAUACCCGGGUAGUCCCUGUCUCUUAUAC